Molecule: transfer RNA, 63 nt
Filed under: Trichuris sp. ETH232
Lineage: Eukaryota; Metazoa; Nematoda; Enoplea; Trichinellida; Trichuridae
Description: tRNA-Glu
Source: RNAcentral
GGUCAUUUGGUGAAUCCGCCCUUUAUCACGAUGAAAUUUCAAUUCAUAGUAAUCCAAUGACUA